UCAUUCAUUCCUCACUUCGACUUCGAAAACUGAUUUCACAUUCACGAAAGCGAAACCCUAACCCUAGCGUGUGGCCUCGUAGGCGGUUGGUAAGCGAUAAGACUCCGAUUAGGAGUUGAAAACUCACGUUUCGGAGUCGAAUCAUCGAGUGAUAGACUGAGUAACGUUGUUCAAAAUCUAGAUUGGACGACAAUUGGUGGUUGAAGCUAAUUCGGGAUUUGUGGAAGCUUCGUGUUGUGGACUGAGAAACAAUAACUAUAGCCCCAGGAGAACAGAAUAUACCAAUUUGGCUCAGAAUCUCUGUUUUGGGUUGUGAAGGUUGUUGAAGCUUCAAGUUGAACAGUGAGAGAUGUGAGUUAUCUUCUUGUAGCUCUUUGCAAGUUCCUGAAACUCCAAUCUAACUUUGAAGUUGAGUUUCAUACCAGUUGUGACCCUGUACAGUUUCU
This is a long non-coding RNA of Pistacia vera, 446 nucleotides long. RefSeq lists it as uncharacterized. The transcript has 4 exons. The record is from RefSeq and is a predicted model, not a curated record. Lineage: Eukaryota; Viridiplantae; Streptophyta; Magnoliopsida; Sapindales; Anacardiaceae.